GUAGGUGGCAAGCGUUGUCCGGGAAUUAUUGGGGCGUAAAGCGCGCGCAGGCUGUUCUUUAAGUCUGAUGUGAAAGCCCACGGGCUCAACCGUGGAGGGUCAUUGGAAACUGGAGAACUUGAGUACAGAAGAGGAAAGCGGAAUUCCACGUGUAGCGGUGAAAUGCGUAGAGAUGUGGAGGAACACCAGUGGCGAAGGCGGCUUUCUGGUCUGUAACUGACGCUGAGGCGCGAAAGCGUGGGGAGCAAACAGGAUUAGAUACCCUGGUAGUCCACGCCGUAAACGAUGAGUGCUAAGUGUUAGGGGGUUUCCGCCCCUUAGUGCUGCAGCUAACGCAUUAAGCACUCCGCCUGGGGAGUACGGCCGCAAAGGCUG
This 375-nucleotide ribosomal RNA is filed under the name uncultured organism. Its description in RNAcentral is "partial 16S ribosomal RNA". It matches the Rfam family "Bacterial small subunit ribosomal RNA", at positions 527 to 896 of the family's 1533-position model. The record is from RNAcentral.